GAUGAACGCUAGCGGCAGGCCUAAUACAUGCAAGACGAGCGGUAAAUGAUUCAGCAAUGGAUUAUGAGAGCGUCGUAAGGGUGCGUAACACGUAUGCAAUCUGCCCGGAACUGGAGCAUAGCUCGGGGAAACUCGGAUUAACUCUCCAUAAUAUCGUUUGGUGGCAUCAUUAGACGAUUAAAACUGAGGUGGUUCCGGAUGAGCAUGCGGAUGAUUAGCUAGUUGGCGGUGUAACGGACCACCAAGGCGAUGAUCAAUAGGGGAACUGAGAGGUUGAUCCCCCACACUGGCACUGAGAUACGGGCCAGACUCCUACGGGAGGCAGCAGUAGGGAAUAUUGGACAAUGGGUGCAAGCCUGAUCCAGCCAUGCCGCGUGCAGGAAGAAGGCUUUCUGAGUUGUAAACUGCUUUUGCCAGGGGAUAAAAUAUCCUUGCGAGGAGAAUUGAAGGUACCUGGUGAAUAAGCCACGGCUAACUACGUG
RNAcentral lists this ribosomal RNA (482 nucleotides) under uncultured bacterium. Its description in RNAcentral is "bacterial SSU rRNA". It matches the Rfam family "Bacterial small subunit ribosomal RNA", at positions 28 to 507 of the family's 1533-position model. The record is from RNAcentral.